Molecule: ribosomal RNA, 253 nt
Filed under: uncultured bacterium
Lineage: Bacteria
Description: partial 16S ribosomal RNA
Rfam family: Bacterial small subunit ribosomal RNA
Source: RNAcentral
GACAGAGGUGCCGAGCGUUAGGCGGAAUCACUGGGCUUAAAGCGUGUGUAGGCGGGUCGUUAAGUGUCUUGUGAAAUCCCACGGCUCACCCGUGGAACUGCUGGGCAUACUGGCGAUCUUGGGCCAACUAGGGGCAACUGGAACAAGCGGUGGAGCGGUGAAAUGCGUAGAUAUCGCUUGGAACGCCAACGGUGAAAACAGGUUGCUGGGGUUGUGCCGACGCUGAGACACGAAAGCCAGGGGAGCAAACGGG